Molecule: ribosomal RNA, 507 nt
Filed under: Triticum aestivum (bread wheat)
Lineage: Eukaryota; Viridiplantae; Streptophyta; Magnoliopsida; Poales; Poaceae
Description: partial small subunit ribosomal RNA
Source: RNAcentral
AUGGCUGAAUCAGUGAUUCUUUUAGCUGUGGCAAAGAUUGGUGCUGCUCUGGGGAAUGAAGCAAUCAAUCAGGCUAGUUCACAAUUCAAAAAGUUCAUUGCGCAGCUAACAGAGCUUCAAGGCAGCAUGGGUCGCAUAAGAAGAGAACUCAGGCUAAUUCAUGAAUUUCUUUGCCGAAUGGAUGUGAGGAAUCACAAGAAUCCAACAUAUGAAAUCUGGGUGGAGGAGGUGAGAAUGCUUGCAUAUGGGAUUGAGGAUAUUGCGGACGAGUAUUUGCAUAUUGUCGGUCAGAAACAUCAUGGUGGAUGGAGAAUCUAUCUGAAAAAAGGAUUCAAGCAUCCAAAUGUCUUGCUUUCUUUAAAUAGGAUAGCUUCAUUGGUUAAGGAAGCAGAGAUCAAUCUUGUGCACCUGUUCCAGGCCAAGGAUCGGUGGGUUCCGAUAGUAGGUGGCCUUAACAGUUUCCUGGAAGCUCUGGGACUCGAGGAACGCUCUCGUGUUCAGGAAUGA